UAUAAAUAAUUUUUAUGUCUUGCUAGCCCCA
RNAcentral lists this non-coding RNA (31 nucleotides) under Mus musculus (house mouse). Lineage: Eukaryota; Metazoa; Chordata; Mammalia; Rodentia; Muridae. The record is from RNAcentral.